RNAcentral lists this ribosomal RNA (519 nucleotides) under uncultured bacterium. Its description in RNAcentral is "partial 16S ribosomal RNA". It matches the Rfam family "Bacterial small subunit ribosomal RNA", at positions 29 to 507 of the family's 1533-position model. The record is from RNAcentral.
ACGAACGCUGGCGGCGUGCCUAAUACAUGCAAGUCGAACGCACUCUCGUUUAGAUUGAAGGAGUUUGCUCCUGAUUGAUAAACAUUUGAGUGAGUGGCGGACGGGUGAGUAACACGUGGGUAACCUGCCCUAAAGUGGGGGAUAACAUUUGGAAACAGAUGCUAAUACCGCAUAAAACCUAACACCGCAUGGUGUAGGGUUGAAAGGUGGUUUCGGCUAUCACUUUAGGAUGGACCCGCGGUGCAUUAGUUAGUUGGUGAGGUAAAGGCUCACCAAGACCGUGAUGCAUAGCCGACCUGAGAGGGUAAUCGGCCACACUGGGACUGAGACACGGCCCAGACUCCUACGGGAGGCAGCAGUAGGGAAUCUUCCACAAUGGACGAAAGUCUGAUGGAGCAACGCCGCGUGAGUGAAGAAGGUUUUCGGAUCGUAAAACUCUGUUGUUGGAGAAGAAUGUAUCUGAUAGUAACUGAUCAGGUAGUGACGGUAUCCAACCAGAAAGCCACGGCUAACUACGUG